GCCGUUUCAGCGGGGCUGUGCUACGGGGCUCUGGGCUCGGAUACCGGCGGUUCAAUCCGCCAGCCGGCA
Molecule: transfer RNA, 69 nt
Filed under: Sedimentisphaera cyanobacteriorum
Lineage: Bacteria; Pseudomonadati; Planctomycetota; Phycisphaerae; Sedimentisphaerales; Sedimentisphaeraceae
Description: tRNA-Gln
Source: RNAcentral